GACGAACGCUGGCGGCAUGCCUAAUACAUGCAAAUCGAGCGAACAGAUGAAGUGCUUGCACUUCUGACGUUAGCGGCGAACGGGCGAGUAACACGUAAGGAAUCUACCUAUAAGCGGGGGAUAACAUUCGGAAACGGGUGCUAAUACCGCAUAAUAUCUUCUUCCGCAUGGAAGAAGAUUGAAAGACGGCUCUGCUGUCACUUAUAGAUGACCUUGCGGUGCAUUAGUUAGUUGGUGGGGUAACGGCCUACCAAGACGAUGAUGCAUAGCCGACCUGAGAGGGUGAUCGGCCACAUUGGGACUGAGACACGGCCCUAACUCCUACGGGAGGCAGCAGUAGGGAAUCUUCCGCAAUGGGCGAAAGCCUGACGGGGCAAUGCCGCGUGAGUGAAGAAGGCCUUCGGGUCGUAAAACUCUGUUAUAAGAGAAGAACAAAUUGUAGAGUAACUGCUACAGUCUUGACGGUAUCUUAUCAGAAAGCCACGGCUAACUACGUGCCAGCCGCCGCAGUAA
This 513-nucleotide ribosomal RNA is filed under the name uncultured bacterium. RNAcentral's name for it is "partial 16S ribosomal RNA". It matches the Rfam family "Bacterial small subunit ribosomal RNA", at positions 28 to 523 of the family's 1533-position model. The record is from RNAcentral.